This 265-nucleotide ribosomal RNA is filed under the name uncultured prokaryote. RNAcentral's name for it is "partial 16S ribosomal RNA". It matches the Rfam family "Bacterial small subunit ribosomal RNA", at positions 524 to 788 of the family's 1533-position model. The record is from RNAcentral.
UACGUAGGGUGCAAGCGUUGUCCGGAAUUAUUGGGCGUAAAGAGCUCGUAGGCGGUUUGUCGCGUCUGCUGUGAAAAUCCGGGGCUCAACCCCGGACUUGCAGUGGGUACGGGCAGACUAGAGUGUGGUAGGGGAGACUGGAAUUCCUGGUGUAGCGGUGAAAUGCGCAGAUAUCAGGAGGAACACCGAUGGCGAAGGCAGGUCUCUGGGCCACUACUGACGCUGAGAAGCGAAAGCAUGGGGAGCGAACAGGAUUAGAUACCCU